RNAcentral lists this ribosomal RNA (556 nucleotides) under uncultured Bacteroidales bacterium. RNAcentral's name for it is "bacterial SSU rRNA". It matches the Rfam family "Bacterial small subunit ribosomal RNA", at positions 184 to 744 of the family's 1533-position model. The record is from RNAcentral. Lineage: Bacteria; Pseudomonadati; Bacteroidota; Bacteroidia; Bacteroidales.
CAUGUUCACAUGAUUAAAGGUAUUCCGGUAGACGAUGGGGAUGCGUUCCAUUAGAUAGUAGGCGGGGUAACGGCCCACCUAGUCUUCGAUGGAUAGGGGUUCUGAGAGGAAGGUCCCCCACAUUGGAACUGAGACACGGUCCAAACUCCUACGGGAGGCAGCAGUGAGGAAUAUUGGUCAAUGGGCGCAGGCCUGAACCAGCCAAGUAGCGUGAAGGAUGACUGCCCUAUGGGUUGUAAACUUCUUUUAUAAAGGAAUAAAGUCGGGUAUGUAUACCCGUUUGCAUGUACUUUAUGAAUAAGGAUCGGCUAACUCCGUGCCAGCAGCCGCGGUAAUACGGAGGAUCCGAGCGUUAUCCGGAUUUAUUGGGUUUAAAGGGAGCGUAGAUGGAUGUUUAAGUCAGUUGUGAAAGUUUGCGGCUCAACCGUAAAAUUGCAGUUGAUACUGGAUAUCUUGAGUGCAGUUGAGGCAGGCGGAAUUCGUGGUGUAGCGGUGAAAUGCUUAGAUAUCACGAAGAACUCCGAUUGCGAAGGCAGCCUGCUAAGCUGCAACUGAC